UCCCUCGUAGCUCAGUCGCCCAGACCAGCGGAUAUCUAAUCCGCCGGUCGGGGGUUCGCGUCCCUCCGGGGGGGCCU
RNAcentral lists this transfer RNA (77 nucleotides) under Desulfurellales bacterium. Its description in RNAcentral is "tRNA-Arg". It matches the Rfam family "tRNA". Rfam says of the family: Transfer RNA (tRNA) molecules are approximately 80 nucleotides in length. Their secondary structure includes four short double-helical elements and three loops (D, anti-codon, and T loops). Lineage: Bacteria; Pseudomonadati; Campylobacterota; Desulfurellia; Desulfurellales. The record is from RNAcentral.